Molecule: ribosomal RNA, 429 nt
Filed under: Chloroflexota bacterium
Lineage: Bacteria; Bacillati; Chloroflexota
Description: Chloroflexi bacterium partial 16S ribosomal RNA
Rfam family: Bacterial small subunit ribosomal RNA
Source: RNAcentral
UGGGGAAUAUUGCACAAUGGGCGCAAGCCUGAUGCAGCCAUGCCGCGUGUAUGAAGAAGGCCUUCGGGUUGUAAAGUACUUUCAGUCGGGAGGAAGGUGUCAAGGUUAAUAACCUUGGCAAUUGACGUUACCGACAGAAGAAGCACCGGCUAACUCCGUGCCAGCAGCCGCGGUAAUACGGAGGGUGCAAGCGUUAAUCGGAAUUACUGGGCGUAAAGCGCACGCAGGCGGUCUGUCAAGUCGGAUGUGAAAUCCCCGGGCUCAACCUGGGAACUGCAUUCGAAACUGGCAGGCUAGAGUCGUGUAGAGGGGGGUAGAAUUCCAGGUGUAGCGGUGAAAUGCGUAGAGAUCUGGAGGAAUACCGGUGGCGAAGGCGGCCCCCUGGACAAAGACUGACGCUCAGGUGCGAAAGCGUGGGGAGCAAACAGG